CGGGNGGAGUAACACGUGGGUAACCUACCUAUAAGACUGGGACAACUUCGGGAAACCGGAGCUAAUACCGGAUAAGAUAUCGAACCGCAUGGUUCGAUAGUGAAAGAUGGUUUUGCUAUCACUUAUAGAUGGACCCGCGCCGUAUUAGCUAGUUGGUGAGGUAACGGCUCACCAAGGCAACGAUACGUAGCCGACCUGAGAGGGUGAUCGGCCACACUGGAACUGAGACACGGUCCAGACUCCUACGGGAGGCAGCAGUA
RNAcentral lists this ribosomal RNA (260 nucleotides) under uncultured Staphylococcus sp. RNAcentral's name for it is "partial 16S ribosomal RNA". It matches the Rfam family "Bacterial small subunit ribosomal RNA", at positions 100 to 355 of the family's 1533-position model. Lineage: Bacteria; Bacillati; Bacillota; Bacilli; Caryophanales; Staphylococcaceae. The record is from RNAcentral.